RNAcentral lists this ribosomal RNA (301 nucleotides) under uncultured bacterium. RNAcentral describes it as "partial 16S ribosomal RNA". It matches the Rfam family "Bacterial small subunit ribosomal RNA", at positions 509 to 807 of the family's 1533-position model. The record is from RNAcentral.
CAGUCGCCGCGGGAAUACGUAGGGUGCAAGCGUUAAUCGGAAUUAUUGGGCGUAAAGCGAGUGCAGACGGUUACUUAAGUCUGAUGUGAAAGCCCCCGGCUCAACCGGGGAGGGUCAUUGGAAACUGGGAAACUUGAGUGCAGAAGAGGAGAGUGGAAUUCCACGUGUAGCGGUGAAAUGCGUAGAGAUGUGGAGGGACACCGAUGGCGAAGGCAGCCCCCUGGGCCAAUACUGACGCUCAUGCACGAAAGCGUGGGGAGCAAACAGGAUUAGAGACCCCUGUAGUCCCUGUCUCUUAUAC